AGCGAACGCUGGCGGCAGGCUUAACACAUGCAAGUCGAGCGGGCACCUUCGGGUGUCAGCGGCAGACGGGUGAGUAACACGUGGGAACGUACCCUUCGGUUCGGAAUAACGCUGGGAAACUAGCGCUAAUACCGGAUACGCCCUUAUGGGGAAAGGUUUACUGCCGAAGGAUCGGCCCGCGUCUGAUUAGCUAGUUGGUGGGGUAACGGCCUACCAAGGCGACGAGCAGUAGCUGGUCUGAGAGGAUGACCAGCCACACUGGGACUGAGACACGGCCCAGACUCCUACGGGAGGCAGCGGUGGGGAAUAUUGGACAGUGGGCGCAAGCCUGAUCCAGCCAUGCCGCGUGAGUGAUGAAGGCCUUAGGGUUGUAAAGCUCUUUUGUCCGGGACGAUAAUGACGGUACCGGAAGAAUAAGCCCCGGCUAACUUCGUG
Molecule: ribosomal RNA, 435 nt
Filed under: uncultured bacterium
Lineage: Bacteria
Description: partial 16S ribosomal RNA
Rfam family: Bacterial small subunit ribosomal RNA
Source: RNAcentral